This 806-nucleotide ribosomal RNA is filed under the name uncultured bacterium. Its description in RNAcentral is "bacterial SSU rRNA". It matches the Rfam family "Bacterial small subunit ribosomal RNA", at positions 64 to 863 of the family's 1533-position model. The record is from RNAcentral.
GGGGGGGCAGCCUGUCCAGCAAUGGAUGAUGGCGACCGGCGGGAAGGGUGCUUAACGGGUGAGCAACAUGCCCUAUACAGGGAGAUACACCAGGGAAACUUGGUCUAAUAUUCCCAUAGCAUUCAUUGAAGGCAUUCUUUAAUGAAUUAAAGCCUCGGGUGGUAUAGGAUUGGCUCGCGUGACAUUAGCCAGAUGGUGAGGUAACGGCUCACCAUAGCAAUGAUGUCUAGGGGUUUUGAGAGGAAGGCCCCCCACACUGGGACUGAGACACGGCCCAGACUCCUACGGGAGGCAGCAGUGAGGAAUAUUGGACAAUGGAUGGAAAUCUGAUCCAGCCAUGCCGCGUGCAGGAAGACGGCCUUAUGGGUUGUAAACUGCUUUUAUACGGGAGCAAUAAGGGUUACGAGUAAUCCGAUGAGAGUACUGUAUGAAUAAGGAUCGGCUAACUCCGUGCCAGCAGCCGCGGUAAUACGGAGGAUCCGAGCGUUAUCCGGAAUUAUUGGGUUUAAAGGGUGCGUAGGCGGCCAUUUAAGUCAGCGGUGAAAUUUUGCAGCUUAACUGUAACAGUGCCGUUGAUACUGUUUGGCUAGGAUUUGGUUGUAGUGUGCGGAAUGUGUGGUGUAGCGGUGAAAUGCUUAGAUAUCACACAGAACACCGAUUGCGAAGGCAGCACACUAAGUCAUUAUUGACGCUGAGGCACGAAAGCGUGGGGAUCAAACAGGAUUAGAUACCCUGGUAGUCCACACUGUAAACGAUGAUAACUCGCUGUCGGCGAUACACAGUCGGUGGCCAAGCGAAAGCAUUAA